GUUUGUUUCUGACACUGAAUACGCCCAAUCUCAUCUGAUCUGCAAAGCUAAGCAGGGUUGGGCCUGGUUAGUAUUUGGAUGGGAGAUUACCUGGGAAUACCAGGUGCUGUAAGCU
Molecule: ribosomal RNA, 115 nt
Organism: Amphiprion percula (orange clownfish)
Lineage: Eukaryota; Metazoa; Chordata; Actinopteri; Pomacentridae
Source: Ensembl